CGGGGGGCCCGCUCCGCCCACCCGCCCGCGCGCGGGGCGGCGUGCUGCGCAGGCGCCACGCCGGUCCCGCCCCGCGGCGACAGCGCCAAUCAGCAAGCGGACAGGCAGCCUAGCUUGGUGCGGCACGAGGCUAUCGCGCUCAGCGCCUGCGUCUGUUAGCAGUGUCGCCCCCUGUCUCGUGGGGGGUCUCCCUCCUGCGCCUGUCACCAUGUCCACGCUUGGAUCCCGAGGUGCCCAUCCGGUGCCGGACCCGUGUUCCACUGCCCCCCCAGUCUCACAACAUUUAGAUUCUAAACCAGCCGGGGCCACUGCCGGCGACCACCCGCUAUAUAUCCCGGAUCCCGGAUCCCAUCUAACGCUUUUCUGACUCAGAAUCCGGGGAUAUGCUUCAUUCUUCCCUUGUCCAGCUUAGUCUAACCACCAUCUUUCGCCUGGAAGUCCAGGGCCUUCCUAAAGAACCUCUCGCCUUCCUUUUGUCCCUCCCCCUAUAACCCCUUUCUCUUCUCAUCCAGAGGGUCCAGGUGGCGCUGCCCCCUGGUUUCAUUGCUCCCCUAGGGCAGAGCCUGACCGGCCCAGGGCAGGUACUUAAUUAAGAUUGCUGUAUGAGUGGACAGUUGUGGCCAGUACCGUAAGUAGGCUGGACCUCCUGGCCGUCCGACCUAAUGUCUGCCUUCUGGAUGAGUUAGGAGAAUGCCGGUGGUAAGGCCCCAAGUUCCACCCCGGGAGACAGAGAGGUGGUCUGCACACCUGGUUCUCCCCUGCAGGUGUCUUUUCAGCCCCAGACCCCGUGAUUCAUGCUCUGGUUGAAGGCAGGGCCUGGGCGAAGAAACCCAAGCCCACAGCAGGCAGGUGUCUUCAGAUUUAUUUUAUCCUCAUUCAAGAGAGGGAGAGAGAAGCAUUGAUUGGUCGUCUUCACGGGCACUUUGAGGAUUGAACCUACAAUGUAGGCAUGUGCGCUGACCAGGAAUUGAACUGAUGAUGACAUUUUGGUUACAGGAUGACACUCCAACCAACUGAGCCCACCAGCCAGGGCAUGACUUCAUUCCUUAAUUGAAGAAAUAUAAUUACAGAGACAACACACAUUAAUUGUAAUCAGUGAAACCAUCCAAACAUGUUUAAACAAAAAAGUUAUCAAAUACCCCCCACCCCACUUUGUGUCAGGGGUCCCCAGGACUAUCUCCCCUGCAAUCCAGCUUUCAGUUUUUUGAGUGUACACAGAAAUGGGAUUCCAGAAGUAAAAUCACUGUGUUA
Molecule: long non-coding RNA, 1251 nt
Organism: Artibeus jamaicensis (Jamaican fruit-eating bat)
Lineage: Eukaryota; Metazoa; Chordata; Mammalia; Chiroptera; Phyllostomidae
Exons: 2
Source: RefSeq, a predicted model, not a curated record